This 254-nucleotide ribosomal RNA is filed under the name uncultured bacterium. Its description in RNAcentral is "partial 16S ribosomal RNA". It matches the Rfam family "Bacterial small subunit ribosomal RNA", at positions 524 to 776 of the family's 1533-position model. The record is from RNAcentral.
UACGAAGGGGGCGAGCGUUGUUCGGAUUUACUGGGCGUAAAGGGCGCGCAGGCGGCUCAUCAAGUCAGGCGUGAAAGCCCCGGGCUUAACCUGGGAACUGCGUCUGGGACUGAUGGGCUUGAGAUCGGGAGAGGAGAGUGGAAUUCCCAGUGUAGAGGUGAAAUUCGUAGAUAGUUGGGAAGAACACCGGUGGCGAAGGCGGCUCUCUGGACCGAUACUGACGCUGAGGCGCGAAAGCGUGGGGAGCAAACAGG